CCUACGAGCGGCUGCAGUGGGGAAUAUUGGGCAAUGGGCGCAAGCCUGACCCAGCAAUGCCGCGUGAAGGAAGAAGGCUUUCGGGUUGUAAACUUCUUUUACAGGGGAAGAGCAGAAGACGGUACCCUUUAAACAAGCCACGGCUAACUACGUGCCAGCAGCCGCGGUAAUACGUAGGUGGCAAGCGUUGUCCGGAUUUACUGGGUGUAAAGGGCGUGUAGCCGGGAAGGCAAGUCAGAUGUGAAAUCUCGAGGCUCAACCUCCAAAGUGCAUUUGAAACUGUUUGUCUUGAGUACCGGAGAGGUAGACGGAAUUCCUUGUGUAGCGGUGAAAUGCGUAGAUAUAAGGAGGAACACCAGUGGCGAAGGCGGUUUGCUGGACAGCAACUGACGGUGAGGCGCGAAAGCGUGGGGAGCAAACAGGAUUAGAUACCCGGGUAGUC
This 442-nucleotide ribosomal RNA is filed under the name uncultured bacterium. RNAcentral describes it as "partial 16S ribosomal RNA". It matches the Rfam family "Bacterial small subunit ribosomal RNA", at positions 338 to 795 of the family's 1533-position model. The record is from RNAcentral.